CCUACGGGAGGCAGCAGUGGGGAAUAUUGCACAAUGGGGGAAACCCUGAUGCAGCGACGCCGCGUGAGUGAGGAAGUAUUUCGGUAUGUAAAGCUCUAUCAGCAGGGAAGAAAAUGACGGUACCUGACUAAGAAGCACCGGCUAACUACGUGCCAGCAGCCGCGGUAAUACGUAGGGGGCAAGCGUUAUCCGGAUUUACUGGGUGUAAAGGGAGCGUAGACGGGUAAGCAAGUCAGAAGUGAAAACCUAGGGCUCAACCAUGGGACUGCUUUUGAAACUGAGUAGCUAGAGUGUAGGAGAGGUAGGCGGAAUUCCUGGUGUAGCGGUGAAAUGCGUAGAUAUUAGGAGGAACACUCGUUGCGAAGGCGGCUUACUGGAAUGUAACUGACGUUGAGGCUCGAAAGCGUGGGGAGCAAACAGGAUUAGAUACCCUUGUAGUC
RNAcentral lists this ribosomal RNA (440 nucleotides) under uncultured bacterium. RNAcentral's name for it is "partial 16S ribosomal RNA". It matches the Rfam family "Bacterial small subunit ribosomal RNA", at positions 338 to 795 of the family's 1533-position model. The record is from RNAcentral.